UCUGGUGACGAUAGCAAAGAGGUCACACCUGUUCCCAUGCCGAACACAGAAGUUAAGCUCUUUAGCGCCGAUGGUAGUUGGGCUUACGUUCCGCGAGAGUAGGACGUUGCCGGGC
Staphylococcus aureus C0673 is the source of this 115-nucleotide non-coding RNA. Lineage: Bacteria; Bacillati; Bacillota; Bacilli; Caryophanales; Staphylococcaceae. The record is from Rfam.